This 496-nucleotide ribosomal RNA is filed under the name uncultured bacterium. Its description in RNAcentral is "bacterial SSU rRNA". It matches the Rfam family "Bacterial small subunit ribosomal RNA", at positions 28 to 516 of the family's 1533-position model. The record is from RNAcentral.
GAUGAACGCUAGCGACAGGCCUAACACAUGCAAGUCGAGGGGCAGCACAUGAGUAGCAAUACGAUGGUGGCGACCGGCGCACGGGUGAGUAACACGUAUGCAACCUGCCUGUAAGAGGGGGAUAACCCGGAGAAAUUCGGACUAAUACCGCAUAAUACCACGAGACUGCAUGGUUUUGUGGUUAAACAUUUAUGGCUUACAGAUGGGCAUGCGUAUGAUUAGAUAGUUGGUAGGGUAACGGCCUACCAAGUCUACGAUCAUUAGGGGUUCUGAGAGGAAGGUCCCCCACACUGGUACUGAGACACGGACCAGACUCCUACGGGAGGCAGCAGUGAGGAAUAUUGGUCAAUGGGCGAGAGCCUGAACCAGCCAAGUCGCGUGAAGGAAGAAGGUUCUAUGGAUUGUAAACUUCUUUUGCAGGGGAAUAAAGGACGGUACGUGUACUGUUUUGUAUGUACCUUGCGAAUAAGGAUCGGCUAACUCCGUGCCAGCAGCC